AGUUGGAUUUCUGUUAAUAAUUUAUAUAAAAUAUUUUGAUGAAUAUUUAUAUAAUAUUAACAUAAUUCAUAUUACUAUUUUUUUUUUUAGUAUAUGAAAUUUUACUUUGAGAAAAUUAGAGUGCUUAAAGCAGGCUUAUGCCUUGAAUACUCCAGCAUGGAAUAAUAUUAAAGAUUUUUAUCUUUUUUAUUGGUUCUAAGAUAAGAAUAAUGAUUAAUAGGGACAGUUGGGGGCAUUUGUAUUUAACAGUCAGAGGUGAAAUUCUUAGAUUUGUUAAAGACAAACUAAUGCGAAAGCAUUUGCCAAGGAUGUUUUCAUUAAUCAAGAACGAAAGUUAGGGGAUCGAAGACGAUCAGAUACCGUCGUAGUCUUAACCAUAAACUAUGCCAACUAGAGAUUGGAGGUUGUUCCU
Molecule: ribosomal RNA, 412 nt
Filed under: Cryptosporidium hominis
Lineage: Eukaryota; Apicomplexa; Conoidasida; Eucoccidiorida; Cryptosporidiidae
Description: partial small subunit ribosomal RNA
Rfam family: Eukaryotic small subunit ribosomal RNA
Source: RNAcentral